CCGGAGAAUCACAAGCAUCAUUUGCUAAGAACCAUGGUAUUCAGCCCCUGAAGUCUCUUCUCAAUCUGCCACAAUGCAUGGUACACGAACCAUAACAUCACUCCGCAGUCUGCUCCAAUGUAUGGCACUCGAACCAUAACAUCACUCUUCACUCUGGCCCGAUGUAUGCUACUCGAACCAUAACAUAACUCCUCAAUCUGCUCCGAUGUAUGGUACUCGAACCAUAACAUCACUCCUCAAUCUGCUCCGAUGUAUGGUACUCGAACCAUAACAUCACUCCUCAAUCUGCUCCGAUGUAUGGUACUCGANCCUCCCAAAUCUGCUCCGAUGUAGGGUACUCGAACCAUAACAUCACUCCUCAAUCUGCCCCGAUGUAUGGUACUCGAACCAUAACAUCACUCCUCAAUCUGCUCCAAUGUAUGGUACUCGAACCAUAACAUCACUCCUCAAUCUGCUACUUAGAACCUUUGGAAUACCGGCCCCCUGUAUCGAGUAUGGGUCCUCUGCUUUCUUUCGGUAGUACGGGCCCAUACUACCUGCCACAUCUACCCAUACUUUCCACACGGACCAAUCCAGAGCUCCUAGGUAGCUGCUCAACCUUCUCGUUUACUAAUUCCGCCACGCGUGCUCGCUCUUCAGCAAAAUGCUCUACUCUGCCAGCGUACUCAUCUGGCUAAGGUCACUCCCUAGGCUCUUCCUUGGUCCUCCC
Molecule: long non-coding RNA, 709 nt
Filed under: Lactuca sativa (garden lettuce)
Lineage: Eukaryota; Viridiplantae; Streptophyta; Magnoliopsida; Asterales; Asteraceae
Description: long non-coding RNA (LSAT_LNC007834)
Source: RNAcentral